This 497-nucleotide ribosomal RNA is filed under the name uncultured bacterium. Its description in RNAcentral is "partial 16S ribosomal RNA". It matches the Rfam family "Bacterial small subunit ribosomal RNA", at positions 30 to 523 of the family's 1533-position model. The record is from RNAcentral.
AUUGAACGCUGGCGGCAUGCCUUACACAUGCAAGUCGAACGGUAACGGGCCUUCGGGUGCCGACGAGUGGCGUACGGGUGAGUAAUACAUCGGAACGUGCCCGAUCGUGGGGGAUAACGAGGCGAAAGCUUUGCUAAUACCGCAUACGAUCUACGGAUGAAAGCAGGGGACCGCAAGGCCUUGCGCGGACGGAGCGGCCGAUGGCAGAUAGGUAGUUGGUGGGGUAAAAGCUUACCAAGCCGACGAUCUGUAGCUGGUCUGAGACGAUGAUCAGCCACGCUGGGACUGAGACACGGCCCAGACUCAUACGGGAGGCAGCAGUGGGGAAUUUUGGACAAUGGGCGCAAGCCUGAUCCAGCCAUGCCGCGUGCAGGAUGAGGGCCCUCGGGUUGUAAACUGCUUUUGUACGGAACGAAAAGCCUUCUUCUAAUACAGGAGGGUCAUGACGGUACCGUAAGAAUAAGCACCGGCUAACUACGUGCCAGCCGCCGCCGUAA